UGUACAGAUUGUCUGAGGAAGUCCAAACGUGAUUAGCAAGCUAUUGGGAUUUUUGAACAAAGCCAGAAGCUCAACUUGGAGGUCCCUGUGAAGGGAAAUGGAACCUAAACCUGCUGAGGCAUUCAUUCAUUCGUCAUCAGCCGCUUCUCCGGGGUCGGGUCGCGGUGGCAGCACGACCUAUGUUAUACCUGCAGCAAGCUAAAUAGGGCACUCCAGACACCCCUCUCCCCAGCAACGCCCUCCAGCUCCUCCUGAGGUAUCCCAAGGCAUUCCCAGGCCAGACUGGACAUGUAGUCCCUCCAGUGAGUUCUGGGUCUACCCCAGGUCUCCUCCCAGUUGGGUGCGCCCAUGAAACCUUCAACGGAAGGCGGCCAGAUGGCUUCCUAAUCAGCUGAGUGAUGCUUAUUGUAAAUAAGUUUUGGUUGUGGGCACAGUGGUAUGUACCCAGAGUUUCUCUGUAAUCCUCUUUGGAAGAAGAAGUUUAUGUUUAUUUCUGGACUGUCAUCCUGAUGGAUAGCAAAACUUGCAUAUUAUUCAAAGAGUCAAUAGGUCAGGUCUCCUCUCAUCCUUUUCUUCCAGCUCGUAAUUCUCCAGGGCUGUUUCUUCAGACCUUGUUACACUCAUAUGAGCUUCCCAUGUUCAUACAGAGAAGACACUUUAUAAUGCUACCUUUGUUCUGCUA
Molecule: long non-coding RNA, 682 nt
Organism: Lampris incognitus (smalleye Pacific opah)
Lineage: Eukaryota; Metazoa; Chordata; Actinopteri; Lampriformes; Lampridae
Exons: 3
Source: RefSeq, a predicted model, not a curated record